RNAcentral lists this ribosomal RNA (541 nucleotides) under uncultured bacterium. Its description in RNAcentral is "bacterial SSU rRNA". It matches the Rfam family "Bacterial small subunit ribosomal RNA", at positions 772 to 1308 of the family's 1533-position model. The record is from RNAcentral.
ACUAAAUAGAUACCCAGGUAGUCCACGCCCUAAACGAUGUCUACUAGUUGUUGGUGGAGUAAAAUCCAUGAGUAAACGCAGCUAAACGCGUGAAGUAGACCGCCUGGGGAGUACGGUCGCAAGAUUAAAAACUCAAAGGAAUUGACGGGGGCCCGCACAAGCGGUGGAUUAUGUGGAUUAAAUUCGAUGCAACGCGAAAAACCUUACCUGGCCUUGACAUGCCACUAACGAAGCAGAGAUGCAUUAGGUGCCCGUAAGGGAAAGUGGACACAGGUGCUGCAUGGCUGUCGUCAGCUCGUGUCGUGAGAUGUUGGGUUAAGUCCCGCAACGAGCGCAACCCUUGCCAUUAAUUGCCAUCAUUUAGUUGGGCACUUUAAUGGGACUGCCGGUGACAAACCGGAGGAAGGUGGGGAUGACGUCAAGUCCUCAUGGCCCUUAUGGCCAGGGCUUCACACGUAAUACAAUGGUCGGUACAGAGAGUUGCCAACCCGCGAGGGGAGCUAAUCUCAGAAAGCCGAUCGUAGUCCGGAUUGUUCUCUGC